GGAGUCAGUGAGAUGUUGAUAUCAGGUAGUGUAGGAGUCAGUGGGAUGUUGAUGUUGAUAUCAGGUAGUGCAGGAGUCAGUGGGAUGUUGAUGUUGAUAUCAGGUAGUGUUGGAGUCAGUGAGAUGUUGAUAUCAGGUAAUGUAUGAGUCAGUGGGAUGUUGAUAUCAGGUAGUGUUAGAGUCAGUGAGUUGUUGAUAUCAGGUAGUGUUGGAGUCAGUGGGAUGUUGAUAUCAGGUAGUGUAGGAGUCAGUGAGAUGUUGUUAUCAGGUAGUGUUGGUGUCAGUGAGAUGUCGUUAUCAGGUAGUGUAGGAGUCAGUGAGAUGUUGAUAUCAGGUAGUGUAGGAGUCAGUGAGAUGUUGAUAUCAGGUAGUGUAGGAGUCAGUGAGAUGUUGAUAUCAAGUAGUGUUGGAGUCAGUGAGAUGUUGAUAUCAGGUAGUGUUGGAGUCAGUGACAUGUUGAUAUCAGGUAGUGUAGGAGUCAGAGGAUUGUUGAUAUCAGGUAGUGUUGGAGUCAGUGGGAUGUUGAUAUCAGGUAGUGUUGGAGUCAGUGAGAUGUUGAUAUCAGGUAGUGUAGAAGUCAGUGAGAUGUUGAUUUCAGGUAGUGUAGGAGUCUGUGGGAUGUUGAUGUUGAUAUCAGGUAGUGUAGGAGUCAGUGGGAUAUCAUGAUGAUAUCAGGUAGUGUUAGGAGUCAGUGGGAUGUUGAUAUCAGGUAGUGUAGGAUUCAGUGAGAUGUUGAUAUCAGGUAGUGUAGGAGUCAGUGGGAUGUUGAUAUCAGGUAGUGUAGGAGUCAGUGGGAUGUUGAUAUCAGGUAGUGUAGGAGUCAGUGAGAUGUUGAUAUCAGGUAGUGUAAGAGUCAGUGGGAUGUUGAUAUCAGGUAGUGCAGGAGUCAGUGAGAUGUUGAUGUCAGGUAGUGUAGGAGUCAGUGAGAUGUUGAUAUCAGGUACUGUAGGAGUCAGUGGGAUAUUGAUGUUGAUAUCAGGUAGUGUAGGAGUCAGUGGGAUGUUGAUGUUGAUAUCAGGUAAGUUUGGAGUCAGUGAGAUGUUGAUAUCAGGUAGUGUAGCAGUCAGUGAGAUGUUGAUAUCAGGUAGUGUUGGAGACAGUGGGAUGUUGAUGUUGAUAUCAGGUAGUGUAGGAGUCAGUGAGAUGUUGAUAUCAGGUAGUGUAGGAGUCAGUUAGAUGUUGAUGUCAGGUAGUGUUGGAGUCAGUGAGAUGUUGAUAUCAGGUACUGAAGGAGUCAGUGGGAUGUUGAUGUUGAUAUCAGGUAGUGUAGGAGUCAGUGAGAUGUUGAUAUCAGGUAGUGUUGGAGACAGUGGGAUGUUGAUGUUGAUAUCAGGUAGUGUUGUAGUCAGUGAGAUGUUUAUAUCAGGUAGUGUAGGAGUCAGUGAGAUGUUGAUAUCAGGUAGUGUAGGAGUCAGUGGGAUAUUGAUGUUGAUAUCAGGUAGUGUAGGAGUCAGUGAGAU
Molecule: long non-coding RNA, 1460 nt
Filed under: Salmo salar (Atlantic salmon)
Lineage: Eukaryota; Metazoa; Chordata; Actinopteri; Salmoniformes; Salmonidae
Description: lncRNA (ENSSSAG00000098630.1, ENSSSAG00000114640.1)
Source: RNAcentral